UUGUUGCAGUUAAAAAGCUCGUAGUUGAAUAUCUGGUAUAACGUACCUGGCCCGCAGCCUUUAGGCUUGUGUGUGCCGGCGCACGUUUGCCAUCUUUCUAGAAAACGGGUCUGCCAUUAACUUGGUGGGUUCGGGAUCUAGAUCAUUUACUUUGAAAAAAUUAGAGUGUUUAAAGCAAGCAAUUGCUCUGAAUACAUUAGCAUGGAAUAAUAAUCUAGGACUUCGGUUCUAUUUUGUUGGUUUCUAAAACUGAAGUAAUGAUUGAUAGGGACAGUUGGGGGUGCUAGUAUUGGCCGGCCAGAGGUGAAAUUCUUGGAUUCGGUCAAGACUAACUUAUGCGAAAGCAUUCACCAAGGAUGUCUUCUUUAAUCAAGAACGAAAGUUGGGGGAUCGAAGACGAUCAGAUACCGUCGUAGUCUCAACCAUAAACUAUGCCAACUAGGGAUGGGUGAACGUUGCUUUUUCGACUUCAUCCGCACCUUAUGAGAAAUCAAAGUCUUUGGGUUCCGGGGGGAGUAUGGUCGCAAGGCUGAAACUUAAAGGAAUUGACGGAAGGGCACCACCAGGAGUGGAGCCUGCGGCUUAAUU
This 588-nucleotide ribosomal RNA is filed under the name uncultured eukaryote. RNAcentral describes it as "SSU rRNA". It matches the Rfam family "Eukaryotic small subunit ribosomal RNA", at positions 610 to 1195 of the family's 1831-position model. The record is from RNAcentral.